GUGUAGGAUAGGUGGGAGGCUUUGAAGCGUGGACGCCAGUCUGCGUGGAGCCGACCUUGAAAUACCACCCUUUAAUGUUUGAUGUUCUAACGUGGAUCCGUAAUCCGGGUUGCGGACAGUGUCUGGUGGGUAGUUUGACUGGGGCGGUCUCCUCCUAAAGAGUAACGGAGGAGCACGAAGGUUGGCUAAUCCUGGUCGGACAUCAGGAGGUUAGUGCAAUGGCAUAAGCCAGCUUGACUGCGAGCGUGACGGCGCGAGCAGGUGCGAAAGCAGGUCAUAGUGAUCCGGUGGUUCUGAAUGGAAGGGCCAUCGCUCAACGGAUAAAAGGUACUCCGGGGAUAACAGGCUGAUACCGCCCAAGAGUUCAUAUCGACGGCGGUGUUUGGCACCUCGAUGUCGGCUCAUCACAUCCUGGGGCUGAAGUAGGUCCCAAGGGUAUGGCUGUUCGCCAUUUAAAGUGGUACGCGAGCUGGGUUUAGAACGUCGUGAGACAGUUCGGUCCCUAUCUGCCGUGGGCGCUGGAGAACUGAGGGGGGCUGCUCCUAGUACGAGAGGACCGGAGUGGACGCAUCACUGGUGUUCGGGUUGUCAUGCCAAUGGCACUGCCCGGUAGCUAAAUGCGGAAGAGAUAAGUGCUGAAAGCAUCUAAGCACGAAACUUGCCCCGA
Molecule: ribosomal RNA, 667 nt
Filed under: Salmonella enterica subsp. enterica serovar Infantis
Lineage: Bacteria; Pseudomonadati; Pseudomonadota; Gammaproteobacteria; Enterobacterales; Enterobacteriaceae
Also listed under: 2 other names
Description: partial 23S ribosomal RNA
Rfam family: Bacterial large subunit ribosomal RNA
Source: RNAcentral